AUUUGUCUAGCAGCGGGUUAUUAGGCUGCAGGUCGGGAUGUUUUGUAUCUUUACAUGGUUUUAUUGUAUGUAUGUGUAAGUGUGUACGUAUUGUAUGUUUUACAUGUUUUGAUAUGGUCAAAAGUGACUAAUCAAUAAAGAAUUGUAAAUUACAUAGCAUUAAUGUGUAAUGAACUAGUUUUUCUGUCAAAUUUGUUGUAUAACAUGAUGUUUUGUUGCUUAAUUUGUAAAAUCAUAACCUGUUUUGAUGUUUAAUAGGCUUUUUCUUAAUCUCUCCUUAUUAUCCAACAUAUUCGCUUAUCCAACGUUCUGCCGGCCUGUUUAUGUUGGAUAAGUGAGACUCUACUGUACAACAAGGAACACUUUUUACUUUGCAGAGGCAGAACUCUGACUAUUCUCAACUUAUUAUAUUAGUUAUUCCAGCAAAUAUCUUCUGUUACCACAGUCCUUAACCUAUCUUCACUGACCACAACUCACUAUCCUGUCCUAACAGAUAGCUUUCCCCAUCCUAACUGCUUUAGAAUGUUCAGCUGCUCUCCUAACUGCCAACUGCCAACUUCACUUUUAAACUCUGGCACAUGCUCAUUUACAUAUGACCAAUCCGGUCGCUGCUAUGUAAAUUAGCUUCUCUCUUGAUGUCAGAUUCCGAGUGCUACAAAAUGGCGGUUCACCCACCAACCCUGCAAGGUAAGCCAGAGAAAAGGGGAAAAAACAAACCUAGCAAAAGUUUCUGGAUUUAAGGCUUGCAGCUGGCAGCUGGCAAAAUUGCACACCCAAAGGCAUGAUUGCAAUGUGAUAUGUGUAAUAUGCAAAUAUCUGGUGAGCCAUUGUUCAUUUUUCUGUGUGCCUAGCUAUAUAAGAUGUGAUUUAUUGCUCCGGCUCUGACUUAUUGUUUCAUAAUAUACAUUCCUUGAUGUUUGCUAACAUAAGGGUUCAAAAAGUAGUGGAGUUUAUUCAAUCUUAAAGAAAAGAUAGCCAUAUGGUUAUUCACAGUUCUUGGGCACCAUUGACAGGCAGUACAUGUGCUAGAUAAUACAAAGUCAGGCCUCAUCUCUUUUAAUCUUUCCUUGUUGUUGUGAUGUACUUUCAAGUUGGCUUAGAUUUAUGAUGAUCCUGUCAGAGUAUUGUUGAGCCAUGAUACAUCCCCCCAAAGGAUUUAUAGUACACCAAAAGAUUUCAAGCAAAUAAUAUGAUUUUUUUUCUUUUUUUAUUAAAAAACCUUUUUGGAGGUCCAGAGUUGUGAAAUUCCAAAGUGCUAGAGGUUCUGGAAUGGAUCUAGCAGCAGCUGUAUCAAUUUCAUGAUUUUAUACAACUUGUAUCUUUUAUAUAUUGUAUAUUAUGUCAAUCCUUCUAAGAAGUGUAUAAACUGUUUCUAAUAUAUGUAUCAACAUGUAACUUGAAUACAUUUUUCUCAGAAUCCUAGUUCAUAACCCAAAUCAUUGUGCCCUGUUGGCUCAUUCCUGUA
RNAcentral lists this long non-coding RNA (1465 nucleotides) under Anolis carolinensis (green anole). RNAcentral's name for it is "lncRNA (ENSACAG00000040446.1)". Lineage: Eukaryota; Metazoa; Chordata; Lepidosauria; Squamata; Anolidae. The record is from RNAcentral.